Long non-coding RNA from Haliotis rufescens (red abalone), 214 nucleotides. RefSeq lists it as uncharacterized. The transcript has 3 exons. The record is from RefSeq and is a predicted model, not a curated record. Lineage: Eukaryota; Metazoa; Mollusca; Gastropoda; Lepetellida; Haliotidae.
CAGCCAUUGCUCCCUUGCGCCUGUCACGUCAAGUCGCCCAUUGCUUAUUAUCCCAGAGAGGAAUAUGAAGAGUUCUUUUCACAUUGUGUAGUGUACACAAGUCAGUCGCUGGUUGUUGUGUCUGUAUCUGAAGCCAUGCAAGAGGACUUGCCUACUGCCUUUCUGCCACGUGAAUACUGUCUUUUCCAACAUGAUGACUUAUGCUGAAUGUGAC